AGUGGCGAACGGGUGAGUAACACGUGGGUGAUCUGCCCUGCACUUUGGGAUAAGCCUGGGAAACUGGGUCUAAUACCGAAUAUGAUCAUGCUCUUCAUGGGGUGUGGUGGAAAGCUUUUGCGGUGUGGGAUGGGCCCGCGGCCUAUCAGCUUGUUGGUGGGGUAAUGGCCUACCAAGGCGACGACGGGUAGCCGGCCUGAGAGGGUGACCGGCCACACUGGGACUGAGAUACGGCCCAGACUCCUACGGGAGGCAGCAGUGGGGAAUAUUGCACAAUGGGCGCAAGCCUGAUGCAGCGACGCCGCGUGAGGGAUGACGGCCUUCGGGUUGUAAACCUCUUUCAGCACAGACGAAGCGCAAGUGACGGUAUGUGCAGAAGAAGGACCGGCCAACUACGUGCCAGCAGCCGCGGUAAUACGUAGGGUCCGAGCGUUGUCCGGAAUUACUGGGCGUAAAGAGCUCGUAGGUGGUUUGUCGCGUUGUUCGUGAAAACUCACAGCUUAACUGUGGGCGUGCGGGCGAUACGGGCAGACUGGAGUACUGCAGGGGAGACUGGAAUUCCUGGUGUAGCGGUGGAAUGCGCAGAUAUCAGGAGGAACACCGGUGGCGAAGGCGGGUCUCUGGGCAGUAACUGACGCUGAGGAGCGAAAGCGUGGGGAGCGAACAGGAUUAGAUACCCUGGUAGUCCACGCCGUAAACGGUGGGUACUAGGUGUGGGUUUCCUUCCUUGGGAUCCGUGCCGUAGCUAACGCAUUAAGUACCCCGCCUGGGGAGUACGGCCGCAAGGCUAAAACUCAAAGGAAUUGACGGGGGCCCGCACAAGCGGCGGAGCAUGUGGAUUAAUUCGAUGCAACGCGAAGAACCUUACCUGGGUUUGACAUGCACAGGACGCUGGUAGAGAUAUCAGUUCCCUUGUGCUCUGUGUGAGGUGGGUGCAUGGCUGUCGUCAGCUCGUGUCGU
This 960-nucleotide ribosomal RNA is filed under the name Mycolicibacterium canariasense. RNAcentral's name for it is "bacterial SSU rRNA". It matches the Rfam family "Bacterial small subunit ribosomal RNA", at positions 94 to 1068 of the family's 1533-position model. The record is from RNAcentral. Lineage: Bacteria; Bacillati; Actinomycetota; Actinomycetes; Mycobacteriales; Mycobacteriaceae.